Pseudophryne corroboree (corroboree frog) is the source of this 403-nucleotide long non-coding RNA. RefSeq lists it as uncharacterized. The transcript is spliced from 4 exons. Lineage: Eukaryota; Metazoa; Chordata; Amphibia; Anura; Myobatrachidae. The record is from RefSeq and is a predicted model, not a curated record.
UAUCAACCCAAUUAAUUUACCAGGUCUACCACGUGUUCUAAAUUGGUUAGACAUUAUUCCCAUUUGAAUUGCCUUCACUCCUGAGUCUCUGAGUGUCAGGUUCAAGCUGCUGACCGACGAGGUUCCUUAUGCUUGCGAACCAGUUAGAUUCUAUACACAUAUGAAUCUUCCCCAUAUUCGAAUAUCUGAAUGUCAGACUCAAGCUGAUGAUAUAUGAGGUAUGGUCCCCGCUGUAUCAAUCAAGUCCCAUUGAAAUAUUAAAACGUUGUUCAUACAUCUUUGAAUGACCUUUUAUGUGCUGACAAUAUGUUCUGAAAUGAAGAGAUUUUACCCCUGAUGAAGUCUUGGAACAAGACGAAACGCGUUGGGUUAUUUAUCUAUCUAUUAUCUGAUGUUACCUCCG